This 468-nucleotide ribosomal RNA is filed under the name uncultured bacterium. RNAcentral describes it as "partial 16S ribosomal RNA". It matches the Rfam family "Bacterial small subunit ribosomal RNA", at positions 28 to 507 of the family's 1533-position model. The record is from RNAcentral.
GACGAACGCUGGCGGCGUGCUUAACACAUGCAAGUCGAACGGAAAGGCCCUGCUUUUGUGGGGUGCUCGAGUGGCGAACGGGUGAGUAACACGUGAGUAACCUGCCCUUGACUUUGGGAUAACUUCAGGAAACUGGGGCUAAUACCGGAUAGGAGCUCCUGCUGCAUGGUGGGGGUUGGAAAGUUUCGGCGGUUGGGGAUGGACUCGCGGCUUAUCAGCUUGUUGGUGGGGUAGUGGCUUACCAAGGCUUUGACGGGUAGCCGGCCUGAGAGGGUGACCGGCCACAUUGGGACUGAGAUACGGCCCAGACUCCUACGGGAGGCAGCAGCGGGGAAUAUUGCACAAUGGGCGGAAGCCUGAUGCAGCAACGCCGCGUGCGGGAUGACGGCCUUCGGGUUGUAAUCCGCUUUCGCCUGUGACGAAGCGUGAGUGACGGUAAUGGGUAAAGAAGCACCGGCUAACUACGUG